GAUGAACGCUGGCGGCGUGCUUAACACAUGCAAGUCGAACGAUGAAGCCCAGCUUGCUGGGUGGAUUAGUGGCGAACGGGUGAGUAACACGUGAGUAACCUGCCCUUAACUCUGGGAUAAGCCUGGGAAACUGGGUCUAAUACCGGAUAGGAGCGUCCACCGCAUGGUGGGUGUUGGAAAGAUUUAUCGGUUUUGGAUGGACUCGCGGCCUAUCAGCUUGUUGGUGAGGUAAUGGCUCACCAAGGCGACGACGGGUAGCCGGCCUGAGAGGGUGACCGGCCACACUGGGACUGAGACACGGCCCAGACUCCUACGGGAGGCAGCAGUGGGGAAUAUUGCACAAUGGGCGCAAGCCUGAUGCAGCGACGCCGCGUGAGGGAUGACGGCCUUCGGGUUGUAAACCCCUUUCAGUAGGGAAGAAGCGAAAGUGACGGUACCUGCAGAAGAAGCACCGGCUAACUACGUG
RNAcentral lists this ribosomal RNA (466 nucleotides) under uncultured bacterium. Its description in RNAcentral is "partial 16S ribosomal RNA". It matches the Rfam family "Bacterial small subunit ribosomal RNA", at positions 28 to 507 of the family's 1533-position model. The record is from RNAcentral.